GAUGAACGCUGGCGGCGUGCCUAAUACAUGCAAGUCGAGCGAACGGACGAGAAUCUUGCUUCUCUUAUGUUAGCGGCGGAUGGGUGAUUCAUACGUGGCUACCUUACCUAUAAGACUGGGAUAACUUCGCGAAACCGGAUCUCAUACCGGAUAAUAUUUUGAACCUCAUGGUUCUACAGUGCAAGACCUUCUUGCUGUCACUUAUAGAUGUAUCCUCGCUGCAUUAGCUAGUUGGUAAGGUAACGGCUUACCAAGGCUACGAUGCAUAGCCGACCUGAGAGGGUGAUCGGCCACACUGGAACUGAGACACGGUCCAGACUCCUACGGGAGGCAGCAGUAGGGAAUAUUCGGCAAUGGGCGAAAGCCUGACGGAGCAACGCCGCGUGAGUGAUGAAGGUCUUCGGAUCGUAAAACUCUGUUAGUAGGGAAGAACAUAUGUGUAAGUAACUGUGCACAUCUUGACGGUACCAAAUCAGAAAGCCACGGCUAACUACGUG
This 497-nucleotide ribosomal RNA is filed under the name uncultured bacterium. RNAcentral describes it as "partial 16S ribosomal RNA". It matches the Rfam family "Bacterial small subunit ribosomal RNA", at positions 28 to 507 of the family's 1533-position model. The record is from RNAcentral.